This 767-nucleotide ribosomal RNA is filed under the name uncultured Inocybe. RNAcentral describes it as "partial 28S ribosomal RNA". It matches the Rfam family "Eukaryotic large subunit ribosomal RNA", at positions 216 to 962 of the family's 3401-position model. Lineage: Eukaryota; Fungi; Basidiomycota; Agaricomycetes; Agaricales; Cortinariaceae. The record is from RNAcentral.
GAAUCCCGUCUUUGACAUGGACUGCCAGUGCCUAAUAGGUGCGCUCUCGAAGAGUCGAGCUGUUUGGGAAUGCAGCUCAAAAUGGGUGGUAAAUGCCAUCUAAAGCUAAAUAUUGGCGAGAGACCGAUAGCGAACAAGUACCGUGAGGGAAAGAUGAAAAGAACUUUGGAAAGAGAGUUAAACAGUACGUGAAAUUGCUGAAAGGGAAACGCUUGAAGUCAGUCGCGUCGGGUCGGAAAUCAACCUCGCUUUUGCUGGGUGUACUUUCCGUCCGAUGGGCCAGCAUCGGUUUCGGUUGCUGGACAAAGUUCUUUGGGAAAGUGGCAUCCUCGGAUGUGUUAUAGCCCUUGGGACAUAUGCAGCGGUCGGGAUUGAGGAACUCAGCACGCCCGCGAGGGCUGGGGCUUUUGUCCACAUGAACGUGCUUAGGAUGCUGGCAUAAUGGCUUUAAUCGACCCGUCUUGAAACACGGACCAAGGAGUCUAACAUGCCUGCGAGUGUUUGGGUGAAAAACCCAUGCGCGCAAUGAAAGUGAAGGUUGAGAUCCCUGUCGUGGGGAGCAUCGACGCCCAGACCAGACCUUCUGUGACGGAUCUGCGGUAGAGCACGCAUGUUGGGACCCGAAAGAUGGUGAACUAUGCCUGAAUAGGGUGAAGCCAGAGGAAACUCUGGUGGAGGCUCGUAGCGAUUCUGACGUGCAAAUCGAUCGUCAAAUUUGGGUAUAGGGGCGAAAGACUAAUCGAACCAUCUAGUAGCUGGUUCCUGCC